RNAcentral lists this long non-coding RNA (213 nucleotides) under Notechis scutatus (mainland tiger snake). Its description in RNAcentral is "lncRNA (ENSNSUG00000015259.1)". The record is from RNAcentral. Lineage: Eukaryota; Metazoa; Chordata; Lepidosauria; Squamata; Elapidae.
CUUUCAAAGCAGCCAACUCAAUCUUAAUAGGUGAAAUUCUGCAGAUUCCCCAACUUUCCCAGACUGCCUUCUCAAUGUUGGUGUAUCACAUGGGCUAUGAAAAUCUCAGGUUGGAAGACUACAGAGCAAUAUGCAUGGAAGGAGAUACAAAAUGGCAGGUGUUGGAAAGAUUAUGGGUGCUUCAUGGGACCUUCUCUGCUGAUCAUACCCUCC